GGGUUGUGGCUCAGUGGUAGAGUGCUCACCUCGCAUGCAUGAGGCCCUGGGUUCAAUCCUCAGCCCCCA
RNAcentral lists this transfer RNA (69 nucleotides) under Marmota monax (woodchuck). RNAcentral's name for it is "tRNA.Ala". The record is from RNAcentral. Lineage: Eukaryota; Metazoa; Chordata; Mammalia; Rodentia; Sciuridae.